Molecule: ribosomal RNA, 379 nt
Filed under: uncultured eukaryote
Lineage: Eukaryota
Description: partial 18S ribosomal RNA
Rfam family: Eukaryotic small subunit ribosomal RNA
Source: RNAcentral
CAAUAGCGUAUAUUAAAGUUGUUGCGGUUAAAAAGCUCGUAGUUGGAGUUCUGCCAGGUGACGCUCGUCCGCCCAAGUGGUGUGUACAGGGCGUGCAUCUGGCCCUUUCAGGGGAACGUGUCUGCACUUUACUGUGUGGUGCGAGAUCCUUGACUUUUACUUUGAGGAAAUCAGAGUGUUCCAAGCAGGCUCUCGUCGUGUAUAGCUCAGCAUGGAAUAAUAGCAUUGGACUUCGUUUCUAAGCUGUUGGUUGCAAGAAGCGAGGUAAUGAUGAAGAGGGAUAGUUGGGGGCAUUCGUAUUUAACUGUCAGAGGUGAAAUUCUUGGAUUUGUUAAAGACGGACUACUGCGAAANCANNNGCCAUGGAUGUUUUCAUNGA